UACAGAGGGGGCAAGCGUUGUUCGGAAUUACUGGGCGUAAAGGGCGCGUAGGCGGCCUUCUAAGUCGAACGUGAAAUCCCCGGGCUCAACCCGGGAACUGCGUCCGAUACUGGAAGGCUUGAAUCCGGGAGAGGGAUGCGGAAUUCCAGGUGUAGCGGUGAAAUGCGUAGAUAUCUGGAGGAACACCGGUGGCGAAGGCGGCAUCCUGGACCGGCAUUGACGCUGAGGCGCGAAAGCGUGGGGAGCAAACA
This 251-nucleotide ribosomal RNA is filed under the name uncultured bacterium. Its description in RNAcentral is "partial 16S ribosomal RNA". It matches the Rfam family "Bacterial small subunit ribosomal RNA", at positions 524 to 774 of the family's 1533-position model. The record is from RNAcentral.